RNAcentral lists this ribosomal RNA (873 nucleotides) under Triticum aestivum (bread wheat). Its description in RNAcentral is "partial small subunit ribosomal RNA". Lineage: Eukaryota; Viridiplantae; Streptophyta; Magnoliopsida; Poales; Poaceae. The record is from RNAcentral.
AUGCCCCGCGCCCUCUCUCUCUCUCUCGCCCCUCUCCUCUGCCUCCUCUCUCUGGCUCUGGUCGCCGUCGGUGAGAAGCCAGCUGGCCGCCGUCCGCCAUGGUUUCGUGGAGCGACGACAGCGAGGAAUCGGGCUACGAGUACUCUUCAGGCGGCUCCCCUAUCAAGGUCAAUCCCGGCUACAAUCGAGGACCCGAACUACUCUGGUGUUGAUGAUGAGGUGAUGGUGAUUUGUGAGCAUGGCCAGCCGGCGAAGAGGCAUGUUUACUUCGAAGGGAUUAGCAUUGGGAGGAGGUUCAUUGCCUGUGGACUUGAUGAAGCAAGCAGUUGUGGUGUUGUUCAUUGGGUAGAUGAGGAGUGGUCAGAGCAUUUGCAGAAUGCUCUUCACAAACUACGGCUUUUGUAUGAGGAUUGCCAGCGUGCUAAUAGGAUGGCAUGUCUGGAACAUUCAUCACUUGUCCACAAUCUCACAUCACAGAAGAACAAGCUACAAGAGACUUAUGAGAAGCUUGUUGAGGAUGUGAACAACCUACUUGAUACCCAGGACAAUAUUCCCAAGGAAAAUGAAGUCCAACAAGGUGAACAUGAGGAGAUCACUCCUCCUUUGGACAACAAUAUUUCAGCUUUGAAGGAACAGCUGGGUGCAAUGGAUGCUGAGAACAAAGAACUGAAGCAAAAGGUUGACCAGUUGAAGAGCAUUCAGGUUGCCCAAGGUAAUGUGAUUAGGAAUCUGAAGUUUGCUCAUUUGGAGGAGAAGGAAAAGUUGAGCACUGAGAGGAGGAAUUUGGAGUUUCACAUUGCUGAUCUUGUCAAAGCUAGUGACAAGAACAAGAGAAAGCUGAAGGACAUCAAGGAUAUUUGCGAUGAAGAGUGA